Molecule: ribosomal RNA, 397 nt
Filed under: uncultured bacterium
Lineage: Bacteria
Description: partial 16S ribosomal RNA
Rfam family: Bacterial small subunit ribosomal RNA
Source: RNAcentral
AUACGUAGGGUGCGAGCGUUGUCCGGAAUUACUGGGCGUAAAGAGCUCGUAGGUGGUUUGUCGCGUCGUCUGUGAAAUUCCGGGGCUUAACUCCGGCGUGCAGGCGAUACGGGCAUAACUUGAGUACUGUAGGGGAGACUGGAAUUCCUGGUGUAGCGGUGAAAUGCGCAGAUAUCAGGAGGAAACCCGGUGGCGAAGGCGGGUCUCUGGGCAGUAACUGUCGCUGAGGAGCGAAAGCAUGGGUAGCGAACAGGAUUAGAUACCCUGGUAGUCCAUGCCGUAAACGGUGGGCGCUAGGUGUAGGGGUCUUCCACGACUUCUGUGCCGUAGCUAACGCAUUAAGCGCCCCGCCUGGGGAGUACGGCCGCAAGGCUAAAACUCAAAUGAAUUGACGGGG